GAUGAACGCUAGCGAUAGGCUUAACACAUGCAAGUCGAGGGGCAGCAUGGUCUUAGCUUGCUAAGACUGAUGGCGACCGGCGCACGGGUGCGUAACGCGUAUGCAACUUGCCUCACAGAGGGGGAUAACCCGUCGAAAGACGGACUAAUACCGCGUACACUCCAUCUUGGGCAUCCAAGGUAGAGGAAAUGAAAUUCGCUGUGAGAUAGGCAUGCGUCCCAUUAGCUGGUUGGUGAGGUAACGGCUCACCAAGGCGACGAUGGGUAGGGGAACUGAGAGGUUGAACCCCCACACUGGUACUGAGACACGGACCAGACUCCUACGGGAGGCAGCAGUGAGGAAUAUUGGUCAAUGGGCGAGAGCCUGAACCAGCCAAGUCGCGUGAAGGAUGACUGUCUUAUGGAUUGUAAACUUCUUUUAUACGGGAAUAACAAGAGUCACGUGUGACUCCCUGCAUGUACCGUAUGAAUAAGCAUCGGCUAACUCCGUG
This 490-nucleotide ribosomal RNA is filed under the name uncultured bacterium. RNAcentral's name for it is "partial 16S ribosomal RNA". It matches the Rfam family "Bacterial small subunit ribosomal RNA", at positions 28 to 507 of the family's 1533-position model. The record is from RNAcentral.